UCCGUAGGCGGGCGUCUAAGUCAGUGGUGAAAUCUUACAGCUCAACUGUAAAAUUGCCAUUGAUACUGGAUGUCUUGAAUUAGUGUGAAGUGGUUAGAAUGUGUAGUGUAGCGGUGAAAUGCAUAGAUAUUACACAGAAUACCAAUUGCGAAGGCAGAUCACUAACACUAUAUUGACGCUGAGGGACGAAAGCGUGGGGAGCGAACAAGAUUAGAUACCCUGGUAGUC
This 228-nucleotide ribosomal RNA is filed under the name uncultured bacterium. RNAcentral's name for it is "partial 16S ribosomal RNA". It matches the Rfam family "Bacterial small subunit ribosomal RNA", at positions 568 to 795 of the family's 1533-position model. The record is from RNAcentral.